RNAcentral lists this ribosomal RNA (253 nucleotides) under uncultured bacterium. Its description in RNAcentral is "partial 16S ribosomal RNA". It matches the Rfam family "Bacterial small subunit ribosomal RNA", at positions 524 to 776 of the family's 1533-position model. The record is from RNAcentral.
UACGAAGGGUGCAAGCGUUACUCGGAAUUACUGGGCGUAAAGCGUGCGUAGGUGGUUUGUUAAGUCUGAUGUGAAAGCCCUGGGCUCAACCUGGGAACGGCAUUGGAAACUGGCUUACUAGAGUGCGGUAGAGGGGUGUGGAAUUCCUGGUGUAGCAGUGAAAUGCGUAGAUAUCGGGAGGAACAUCUGUGGCGAAGGCGACACCCUGGACCAGCACUGACACUGAGGCACGAAAGCGUGGGGAGCAAACAGG